This 399-nucleotide ribosomal RNA is filed under the name uncultured bacterium. Its description in RNAcentral is "partial 16S ribosomal RNA". It matches the Rfam family "Bacterial small subunit ribosomal RNA", at positions 360 to 774 of the family's 1533-position model. The record is from RNAcentral.
AAUAUUGCACAAUGGAGGGAACUCUGAUGCAGCCACGCCGCGUGAGUGAAGAAGGUUUUCGGAUCGUAAAACUCUGUCAUUGGGGAAGAAGAAAUGACUGUAUCCAAUGAGGAAGCCCCGGCCAACUACGUGCCCGCAGCCUCGGUAAUACGUAGGGGCCGAGCGUUGUCCGGAAUUACUGGGCGUAAAGGGUACGUAGGCGGCUAUAUAAGUCAGGUGUGAAAUACCAGUGCUUAACACUGGAAUUGCAUUUGAAACUGUGUAGCUUGAGUGCAGGAGAGGAAAGUGGAAUUCCUAGUGUAGCGGUGAAAUGCGUAGAGAUUAGGAGGAACACCAGUGGAGAAGGCGACUUUCUGGACUGUAACUGACGCUGAGGUACGAAAGCGUGGGUAGCGAACA